Molecule: transfer RNA, 73 nt
Filed under: Stegodyphus mimosarum
Lineage: Eukaryota; Metazoa; Arthropoda; Arachnida; Araneae; Eresidae
Rfam family: tRNA
About the family: Transfer RNA (tRNA) molecules are approximately 80 nucleotides in length. Their secondary structure includes four short double-helical elements and three loops (D, anti-codon, and T loops).
Source: Rfam by way of RNAcentral
GCCUUCGUGGAGUAGUGGUCAGCACGCUGGCUCCGUAUGCCCGAGGUCCGUGGUUCGAGUCCUGGCAAAGGCG